RNA transcript from Odobenus rosmarus divergens (Pacific walrus), 413 nucleotides. It is a transcript of the gene named cytochrome c oxidase subunit 7A2, mitochondrial-like, with no coding region annotated. The record is from RefSeq and is a predicted model, not a curated record. The transcript has a single exon. NCBI's taxonomy places the organism in Eukaryota, Metazoa, Chordata, Mammalia, Carnivora, Odobenidae.
GCCAAGAUGUGGAAUCUGCUGGCUCUUUGUCAGAUUGCCCAGAGGACCAUAAGUACUGCUUCACGCAGGCAGUUUGAAAAUAAAGUUCCAGAGAAACAAAAGCUAUUUCAGGAGGAUAAUGGAAUUUCAGUGCAUCUAAAGGGUGGGGUAGCUGAUGCCCUCCCGUAUAGAGCCACUAUGAUGCUGUUCCACAGUUGGUGGAACAGCAUAUGCCAUAUAUCAGCUAGCUAUGGCUUCAUUUCCCAAGAGGCAGGAUUGACUUCAGUUUAUCAUCCCAGCAGGCAGUUGGUUCAGUUUCAUUCAGCUCUCUAUGGACCAGAUAAAUAAAUGAGUUCUUCUUUGGGGAUCAAUAUUUAUUGACUUAUACUAACUGCCACCAGUAAAGCAGACUUUACCAUGAAAAAAAAAAAGAA